This 73-nucleotide microRNA precursor is filed under the name Myotis brandtii (Brandt's bat). RNAcentral describes it as "mir-9193 microRNA precursor family". It matches the Rfam family "mir-9193 microRNA precursor family". The record is from Rfam by way of RNAcentral. Lineage: Eukaryota; Metazoa; Chordata; Mammalia; Chiroptera; Vespertilionidae.
CUCGGGGUGGGGGGUAACUCAGCCUGGAAUGCGAGAGGGCACAGGCCAGGCCGAGGGACCCCACCGGUGCAUG